GGCUUGGUAGCUUAGAUGAUAAAGCGCUCGUCUUACAUACAAGAGUCCUGGGUUCCAAUCACAGCCGAGCAC
Molecule: non-coding RNA, 72 nt
Organism: Aedes aegypti (yellow fever mosquito)
Lineage: Eukaryota; Metazoa; Arthropoda; Insecta; Diptera; Culicidae
Source: Rfam